UCAGACUGAAAAUGACCUCAGGUGUCAUCGGUGGUCUGAGGUCAGAUAUCUGAGCCUACAGUAUUCUGGAGCGUUAAGCUUAUCACCUGCUCCCCCGGUGGCAGAGCGAUAAAACCCAUGUUCCCACAACA
This is a small nucleolar RNA of Dicentrarchus labrax (European seabass), 131 nucleotides long. Lineage: Eukaryota; Metazoa; Chordata; Actinopteri; Moronidae. The record is from Ensembl.